UCACUUUCAACAACGGAUCUCUUGGUUCUCGCAUCGAUGAAGAACGUAGCGAAGUGCGAUAAGUAAUGUGAAUUGCAGAAUUCCGUGAAUCAUCGAAUCUUUGAACGCAAAUUGCACUCUCUUCGGAGAGUAUGCCUGUUUGAGGGUCAUUU
RNAcentral lists this ribosomal RNA (152 nucleotides) under Oehlia diaphana. Its description in RNAcentral is "5.8S ribosomal RNA". It matches the Rfam family "5.8S ribosomal RNA". Rfam says of the family: 5.8S ribosomal RNA (5.8S rRNA) is a component of the large subunit of the eukaryotic ribosome. It is transcribed by RNA polymerase I as part of the 45S precursor that also contains 18S and 28S rRNA. Functionally, it is thought that 5.8S rRNA may be involved in ribosome translocation. Lineage: Eukaryota; Fungi; Glomeromycota; Glomeromycetes; Glomerales; Glomeraceae. The record is from RNAcentral.